UACGGAGGGUGCAAGCGUUAUCCGGAUUCACUGGGUUUAAAGGGUGCGUAGGUGGGUUGGUAAGUCAGUGGUGAAAUCUCCGUGCUUAACAUGGAAACUGCCAUUGAUACUACUGAUCUUGAAUUUUCUGGAGGUAAGCGGAAUAUGUCAUGUAGCGGUGAAAUGCUUAGAUAUGACAUAGAACACCAAUUGCGAAGGCAGCUUACUACAGGGACAUUGACACUGAGGCACGAAAGCGUGGGGAUCAAACAGG
RNAcentral lists this ribosomal RNA (253 nucleotides) under uncultured bacterium. RNAcentral describes it as "partial 16S ribosomal RNA". It matches the Rfam family "Bacterial small subunit ribosomal RNA", at positions 524 to 776 of the family's 1533-position model. The record is from RNAcentral.